RNAcentral lists this ribosomal RNA (253 nucleotides) under uncultured bacterium. Its description in RNAcentral is "partial 16S ribosomal RNA". It matches the Rfam family "Bacterial small subunit ribosomal RNA", at positions 524 to 776 of the family's 1533-position model. The record is from RNAcentral.
GACAGAGGGUGCAAACGUUGUUCGGAAUUACUGGGCGUAAAGCGAGUGUAGGCGGUCCGCUAAGUCGGGUGUGAAAGCCCUGGGCUCAACCCAGGAAGUGCACUCGAAACUGGCAGGCUAGAGUACUGGAGAGGUUGGUGGAAUUCUCGGUGUAGAGGUGAAAUUCGUAGAUAUCGAGAGGAACACCGGUGGCGAAGGCGGCCAACUGGACAGAUACUGACGCUGAGACUCGAAAGCGUGGGGAGCAAACAGG